UGGAUUUAUGCAUUCUGGGAAGUUUUGGAGUUUUGGAAGAGAGGAGCUGCUGGGUCAGCUACGUUGAUGUCAAGGAAUGGGAGUCGAAUGGUCAGUGAUGGUGAAAUGCCACUACGACGAAAUGAUCUCUACUUUGGGGAAAGAAGAAUGGUAAGGGUCUGGGUUUUUGGAUCUAUCUUGUCAUGUGAUGUUCAUACUUGGUGGAAUUCUGGUUUUUUGGAUUAUUUGUUAUGAUAUCGAUAUGUGUUGGGAAUUUAACAUGGUAGUGGACAAGAAUGAAAUUGGUUGUAUGUAUAGACAGAGUUGGUUUUGUCAAAUAAGAAGAUGGAUCUGUUAUCAAUA
Molecule: long non-coding RNA, 342 nt
Organism: Rosa rugosa (rugosa rose)
Lineage: Eukaryota; Viridiplantae; Streptophyta; Magnoliopsida; Rosales; Rosaceae
Exons: 2
Source: RefSeq, a predicted model, not a curated record